GGGACGGUGGCGAAACGGCAUACGCAUCGGUCUUAAAAACCGAGGGGUGAACAACCCGUGUGGGUUCGAGUCCCACCCGUCCUA
RNAcentral lists this transfer RNA (84 nucleotides) under Chloroflexi bacterium ADurb.Bin325. RNAcentral describes it as "tRNA-Leu". It matches the Rfam family "tRNA". Rfam says of the family: Transfer RNA (tRNA) molecules are approximately 80 nucleotides in length. Lineage: Bacteria; Bacillati; Chloroflexota. The record is from RNAcentral.